This 148-nucleotide non-coding RNA is filed under the name Chlorocebus sabaeus (green monkey). The record is from Rfam by way of RNAcentral. Lineage: Eukaryota; Metazoa; Chordata; Mammalia; Primates; Cercopithecidae.
GCCAGGUGUGGUGGCGUGCACCUGUAAUCCUAGCUAUUUGGGAGGCUGAGGCAGAAGAAUCACUUGAACCUGGGAGGCAGAGGUUGUAGUGAGCCAAGAUCCUGCCACUGCACUCCGGCCUGGGUGACAGAGUGAGACUCUGUCUCAA